UCAUCCAUGCAGGAAGUCGAGCAGCAGGAAGACAGGCUUAGUAAGCUGCCGGAUGACAUUCUUGUGUCCGUUCUAGAUCGUCUCGACGUGCGAGGCGCCGCAAGAAGCAGCAUCUUAAGCAGACGGUGGAGGCAUCUCCCUCUCUCGAUCAGUCGUAUCACCUUAGACGUUAAGCGCCACAAGCUUAAAGACGACGGCUCCAAGUCCGCUCUAUCCAAGAAGGCUCAGACCAACCUGUCCGUGGCAGAAGCAGCAAGGAGCCUGUUGGCACGCAGGGACCAGCAGCAGGCCGCCCGCGUCCUCUACCUGCGAUUCUACCUGAGAGACGAGUCCAUGGACAUCGUCCGCGCCGUCAGCGAUGCCAUGGCGCGCGGCUGCAGCAUCGGCAAGGCGACAUUCGUGAUCCUGGGCGAGAAGAUCGACAUCCAGUGCACUGACGAGGACCUCGCCGGCCACGCUGCGCGCCUCCUGUCUUGCCUCGACGCAUGCCCCCGCGCGUUCGCCGGCCUCACGACGCUGCACGUGGAGAGCGUUAAGCUGGGACAGUCGGACAUCAACAACCUGCUCGGUACCUGCUGCAGGCUGAAAAGCCUCUCUCUGCUCAACUGCGGCUCUGGCCGCGAUACGGCCCUGGCCGUCCAAUACCCGCGGAUCGCUGUGCUGAAGCUCGUAGCCUGUGGCACCAUCCAACUGAAGUGGCUCCCGGAGCUAGUGAAGCUGACCUGCGAGCACUGGGUUCCUUCACGAAAUCCACUCUUGUUCGGUCACGUCCCGCGGCUUCGGACGGUAAUGCUCACGACUAGCUGCACCAGUGGCUACAAGAUACUACAGCUGAGCGAAGUACUUGACAAUGCUAGCAUCCGUGAACUGUGGAUGGACUUCGACGCCGAGAGGCUAAGGAUUCAGCCGGAGCCUCCCAAGCAACUGGCUCCUCGACUAAACAACUUGAGGAUUCUUAAUCUGGAGAACAUUCCUGAAGAAUGCGGCAUCGCGUGGACAUUCUUCCUGCUAGAGGCCGCGCCUCUACUGGAGGAGCUCCACAUUCAGGUUUCGAACCACCAGUGCACACCAAUGGAUGGGAUGCUAGUUUGCAAGAAAACCUUUGUCAAGUGGGAACCAUCUGGUUUCAAGCAAUAUAACUUAGCCGGGCUCACAAUCUGUGGUUUUCAACCCGACAAAAUGUUCAUGGGGUAUAUUAGAAGGAUCAUGGAAGUGGCAGUGAAUCUGGAAGAAAUAUCUCUCUAUGAUGAAUUCUGCCAUGCGUGCGCAUUUUGUCCAUCAACCAGAUAUCCCCAGACCAGGACAGAGAGAAACUUGAUACGAAAAGAAAUCAACGAAGGGAGAUCGCCGCCUAUCGACACUAUCCUGUUC
Molecule: ribosomal RNA, 1371 nt
Filed under: Triticum aestivum (bread wheat)
Lineage: Eukaryota; Viridiplantae; Streptophyta; Magnoliopsida; Poales; Poaceae
Description: partial small subunit ribosomal RNA
Source: RNAcentral